CCUACGGGAGGCUGCAGUGGGGAAUUUUGGACAAUGGGGGCAACCCUGAUCCAGCCAUUCCGCGUGAGUGAAGAAGGCCUUCGGGUUGUAAAGCUCUUUUGUUGGGGACGAAACGGUUACGGUUAAUACCCGUGACAACUGACGGUACCCGAAGAAUAAGCACCGGCUAACUACGUGCCAGCAGCCGCGGUAAUACGUAGGGUGCGAGCGUUAAUCGGAAUUACUGGGCGUAAAGCGUGCGCAGGCGGUUUUGUAAGCCAGAUGUGAAAUCCCCGGGCUUAACCUGGGAAUGGCAUUUGGGACUGCAAGGCUAGAGUAUGGCAGAGGAGACUAGAAUUUCUGGUGUAGCAGUGAAAUGCGUAGAUAUCAGAAGGAAUACCGAUGGCGAAGGCAGGUCUCUGGGUCAAUACUGACGCUCAUGCACGAAAGCGUGGGGAGCAAACAGGAUUAGAUACCCCUGUAGUC
RNAcentral lists this ribosomal RNA (465 nucleotides) under uncultured beta proteobacterium. RNAcentral's name for it is "bacterial SSU rRNA". It matches the Rfam family "Bacterial small subunit ribosomal RNA", at positions 338 to 795 of the family's 1533-position model. The record is from RNAcentral. Lineage: Bacteria; Pseudomonadati; Pseudomonadota; Betaproteobacteria.